AUGCUACCGCUGCUGCAAGACCUCUUCUUCCUAAUGGAGGUGUCGGGAGUGGCUCAUAACCCCUGGGCUCCUCGUGCAGGUCCCAGUUCCAAACUUAUCCAAGGAGUACCACAAACCAUACGGUCGCUGGCACCAAAGCCGAUCUUCCUGACAGGCCGCAUCCUCUACGGCCAACUCGUCAGUCUGACACUGACGGAGCAAGCAUCUUUAAGAGUUUCUUUUAACGAGUCUCCCACACUCACAGGCACACCUCUGAUUGAUCUCGAAUCGCUCUGA
RNAcentral lists this long non-coding RNA (276 nucleotides) under Vicia faba (fava bean). Lineage: Eukaryota; Viridiplantae; Streptophyta; Magnoliopsida; Fabales; Fabaceae. The record is from RNAcentral.